RNAcentral lists this long non-coding RNA (281 nucleotides) under Elaeis guineensis (African oil palm). RNAcentral's name for it is "long non-coding RNA (EGUI_LNC079359)". The record is from RNAcentral. Lineage: Eukaryota; Viridiplantae; Streptophyta; Magnoliopsida; Arecales; Arecaceae.
GCCAGGGUAAUCCAUCAGAUGGAUUUGAUAUUUUGAAAUACAAUGUGGACAAUCUGAUCAGAGUUGACAAUUGAACUCUGGGGUGUCCUAUGAUCAUUUUGGUCAAGGAGAUGAAUUAUAUGAAAAGUAUAUCCGCAUGGGUUCUAAGGAUGUUGUUCUAUACAUUCGACCUAUCCGAUCGUCGGGUACCAUUGCUAGAUGGUCACUUCGAUUGGUACAGAAAUUUAUUCUUGUGCUACCGACUUAGGUUCGGACCUAUGAGGUCACACACAUUAGAGUUC